RNAcentral lists this ribosomal RNA (253 nucleotides) under uncultured bacterium. RNAcentral's name for it is "partial 16S ribosomal RNA". It matches the Rfam family "Bacterial small subunit ribosomal RNA", at positions 524 to 776 of the family's 1533-position model. The record is from RNAcentral.
UACGUAGGGUGCGAGCGUUGUCCGGAAUUACUGGGCGUAAAGAGCUCGUAGGUGGUUUGUCGCGUUGUUCGUGAAAUCUCACGGCUUAACUGUGAGCGUGCGGGCGAUACGGGCAGACUUGAGUACUGCAGGGGAGACUGGAAUUCCUGGUGUAGCGGUGGGAUGCGCAGAUAUCAGGAGGAACACCGGUGGCGAAGGCGGGUCUCUGGGUAGUAACUGACGCUGAGGAACGAAAGCGUGGGUAGCGAACAGG